RNAcentral lists this ribosomal RNA (512 nucleotides) under uncultured bacterium. Its description in RNAcentral is "partial 16S ribosomal RNA". It matches the Rfam family "Bacterial small subunit ribosomal RNA", at positions 29 to 523 of the family's 1533-position model. The record is from RNAcentral.
AACGAACGUUAGCGGCGCGCCUAACACAUGCAAGUCGAACGCGACUGGGGGCAACUCCAGUUGAGUGGCGCACGGGUGAGUAACACGUAGGUAAUCUCCCCUCGAGUGGUGGAUAACCUUCCGAAAGGAGGGCUAAUACAGCAUAAGACCACGGCCUCGAAAGAGGCUGAGAUCAAAGCGGAGGAGCGCAAGACUUCGCGCUUGAGGAUGAGCCGGCGGCCCAUCAGGUAGUUGGCGGAGUAACAGCCCACCAAGCCUAAGACGGGUAGCUGGUCUGUGACGAUGGUCAGCCAAACUGGAACUGAGACACGGUCCAGACUCCUACGGGAGGCAGCAGUGGGGAAUCUUGCGCAAGGGACGAAAGUCUGACGCAGCGACGCCGCGUGGGUGAUGAAGGCCUUCGGGUUGUAAAGCCCUGUGGGGAGGGACGAAUAAGUUGCAGCUAAUACCUGCAGCGAUGACGGUACCUCCUUAGCAAGCACCGGCUAACUCUGUGCCAGCCGCCGCCGUAA